RNAcentral lists this long non-coding RNA (278 nucleotides) under Medicago truncatula (barrel medic). RNAcentral's name for it is "long non-coding RNA (MTRU_LNC008033)". Lineage: Eukaryota; Viridiplantae; Streptophyta; Magnoliopsida; Fabales; Fabaceae. The record is from RNAcentral.
UGAGAGGUUAUCUCAAGCAUCAUAGUGGAAACUCUCACAAGAUUGUGAGGAGUGGACUAGCCCACAUUGGGUGAACCACUAUAAUUCUCUGUGUGUUCUUUCUCUCUUCCCUAUACUCUUUAAUUACAGUAUACACAACACACACUUACACAUUUACUUUAUUAAACUGUUUAUGUGUAUGAACUUCAGAACGUUCUGAAGUCAGAAUAUUAACUUAACUAUUCCAAGUAAACUACUUGAGAAUCACUUUUAAGUUUCAGGUUAAUUUUUAAAGGGUC